UGAAGCUAAAGUAUUUGACCUCAUCGAACCAGAUUCUGACAGUGAGAUCAGACCUGAAGUGACAGCUUUAAAAACUGGAAUGUAUGAAUGCCAGCUAGACUCACAUAGAUUUCUCAGAUUCUCAAAGUGGAAGUCCCUUGUGAGAGGUAUAGCAACACUAAUUCACAUUGCCAAGUCAUUUUCCAGCAGCACUCAAAAGGAGUCAUGUUCAGGCUGGCAUUGCUGCAAAGGGUUAUGCCAUUCCUUAGAUUUCUUGCAAGCUGAAACAGUGACUAUCAAAUGUAUCCAAACAUGAAAAUAUAGAAAAUGGAAAGAGAAACAAAACGUUCAAGAAGGAGAUCUUGUAUUGUUGAAAGACUCUCAAGUAAAGCGCUAUAGAUGGACAAUGAGUCUUACUGUAAAAGCCAUUCCUAGUGGUGAUGGUAGAGGUCAAAAUCAUUAAACAAGGGACUGCUAAAGUAUACCUGAGACCUGUGUCAGAUUUGAUUGUUCUUUUUCAAAGUAAAAAGUUAUCUGGUUGAAUUUAAUAAUAAUUUAUAGAUCAUGUAAUAGUGGUAUAUGUUUAUACCAGGCGGGGAGUAUUCUGUCUAUUAUAUGCUUAUUAUGUUCAUGUUGAUGACAUCUGGUGGUUUCAUGUUGCAAUUACAGCUUGGUUCCUCUCAAGAAUAAAACAGGAAGUGUUAAUAAAGUUUGUUAAUAAAAAGUUACUUUCAGUUUCUCAGCAGCCAUCUUAGCUUCAAGAAGCAUGGAAAUCAGCUCUUAAACAUACAUAUGCCUUUGCCAACCAAUAAUAAGGAUAUUCUCCUAAGUGGCUUUGUUCCUGCACAUCUUCUGGAAAAGUCAGAUCUUCAAUCAAGUUUUUCUUAUCUUCAACAGUUUUCCAGUUGUGUUUCUAACCUUCUAGACAAGUUGGAUAUUUCAUCACGGAAGAUUCUUCUCUUCAAACUUCUACUCUUCAUGAUUUUCGGUUUCCUGUUGGUUUGGAGUUAUUCCUUCAUGAUGGACUUUUUGUUUCCUUCUUCAGUUUCAAAGAAAGAGGAUGUAUUGCUGUAUUGUGGACAGUUUAUAGGUCUUAUUAGCAAUUUGAUUGGUUAUGUCAUUUUAGUUUAAUCAGUUCUCUAUUCUGAUUGGUCACUGAUGUAUUAUUUGUUUUUUACUGUCUACUUUUUAAAUUUGACAGUUUGUUGUAUUUUCAUCUAUACUUUGAAUAACUGCAUUUAAGUAGUAAAGAGAGAGAAUGCAAAAUAA
Bombina bombina (fire-bellied toad) is the source of this 1248-nucleotide long non-coding RNA. RefSeq lists it as uncharacterized. The transcript has 2 exons. The record is from RefSeq and is a predicted model, not a curated record. Lineage: Eukaryota; Metazoa; Chordata; Amphibia; Anura; Bombinatoridae.